This is a long non-coding RNA of Neofelis nebulosa (Clouded leopard), 473 nucleotides long. RefSeq lists it as uncharacterized. The record is from RefSeq and is a predicted model, not a curated record. The transcript has 3 exons. NCBI's taxonomy places the organism in Eukaryota, Metazoa, Chordata, Mammalia, Carnivora, Felidae.
UAUUUAGAGAUCUCUGGUAAGGAAUUGACUCAUGUGAUCCUAAAGGCUGAAAACUCUCAAUUCUGCACGGUGGACCAGGAGACUGGAGACCCAGGGAAGAGUUCACGUUGUAGUUCAAGUCUGGAGGCCAUCUGCUGUCAAAGGUCCCUUUUGCUAAGGGAGAUACUCCUCAUAAGCAAUUCCAAUGCUGUGUCACAGAGGCCGUGUGGAACUGCUAACCACAGAGUGGCUUGUUAUUAGGGCGCCUAGGUGGCUCAGUCGGUUAAGCGGCCGACUUCGGCUCAGGUCAUGAUCUCGAGGUCUGUGAGUUCGAGCCCCACGUCAGACUCUGUGCUGCUGGCUCAAAACCUGGAGCCUGUUUCAGAAUCUGUGUCUCCCUCUCUCUGACCCUCCCCCGUUCAUGCUCUGUCUCUCUCUGUCUAAAAAAUAAAGAAACGUUAAAAACAAAAAAUAAAUAAAUAAAUAAAUAAAUA